GGCUGCUCUGACAGUAGUGGAUUACCCAAACUUAUUAACAGUAGUGUCACUAAAGUUGGUAUACGACUCCUCACUGCUAAAUUUGACUAACUUAAA
This 96-nucleotide Y RNA is filed under the name Pongo abelii (Sumatran orangutan). It matches the Rfam family "Y RNA". Rfam says of the family: Y RNAs are components of the Ro ribonucleoprotein particle (Ro RNP), in association with Ro60 and La proteins. The Y RNAs and Ro60 and La proteins are well conserved, but the function of the Ro RNP is not known. In humans the RNA component can be one of four small RNAs -- hY1, hY3, hY4 and hY5. Lineage: Eukaryota; Metazoa; Chordata; Mammalia; Primates; Hominidae. The record is from Rfam by way of RNAcentral.